Molecule: ribosomal RNA, 447 nt
Filed under: uncultured bacterium
Lineage: Bacteria
Description: bacterial SSU rRNA
Rfam family: Bacterial small subunit ribosomal RNA
Source: RNAcentral
UGGGGAAUAUUGGACAAUGGGCGCAAGCCUGAUCCAGCCAUGCCGCGUGAGUGACGAAGGUCUUCGGAUUGUAAAGCUCUUUUGGCGGGGACGAUAAUGACGGUACCCGCAGAAUAAGCCCCGGCUAACUUCGUGCCAGCAGCCGCGGUAAUACGAAGGGGGCCAGCGUUGUUCGGAAUUACUGGGCGUAAAGCGCACGUAGGCGGACUGAUAAGUCAGGGGUGAAAUCCCGGGGCUCAACCUCGGAACUGCCUUUGAUACUGUUAGUCUCGAGUCCGGAAGAGGUGAGUGGAAUUCCUAGUGUAGAGGUGAAAUUCGUAGAUAUUAGGAAGAACACCAGUGGCGAAGGCGGCUCACUGGUCCGGUACUGACGCUGAGGUGCGAAAGCGUGGGGAGCAAACAGGAUUAGAUACCCCCGUAGUCCCUGAGCGGGCUGGCAAGGCGCAU